UACAGAGGGGGCAAGCGUUGUUCGGAAUUACUGGGCGUAAAGGGCGCGUAGGCGGCCUGCUAAGUCGAACGUGAAAUCCCCGGGCUCAACCCGGGAACUGCGUCCGAUACUGGUUGGCUUGAAUCCGGGAGAGGGAUGCGGAAUUCCAGGUGUAGCGGUGAAAUGCGUAGAUAUCUGGAGGAACACCGGUGGCGAAGGCGGCAUCCUGGACCAACACUGACGCUGAGUGAGCGAAAGCCAGGGGAGCAAACGGG
Molecule: ribosomal RNA, 254 nt
Filed under: uncultured bacterium
Lineage: Bacteria
Description: partial 16S ribosomal RNA
Rfam family: Bacterial small subunit ribosomal RNA
Source: RNAcentral